This 780-nucleotide ribosomal RNA is filed under the name Triticum aestivum (bread wheat). RNAcentral describes it as "partial small subunit ribosomal RNA". Lineage: Eukaryota; Viridiplantae; Streptophyta; Magnoliopsida; Poales; Poaceae. The record is from RNAcentral.
AUGGGUUGGGGGAUAUCCCGGCUGAUUGGACUGAAGGCGGCUGUCUUGCUCGCCGCAGCGUAUUUCGUUCAUGGACUGGGCAUGAAAGUGCUCUCGCUGCCCCUCAUAUACACCUGCCUGAUUGCCGUGCUUAUCUCCAUUGCUUCCCAUCCGUCGGUCGACCUCCCGUUGCUUCUCGGCAAGGCAUCCAAUGGAAGCUUUCCCCUAUGGUCAUGGGUCAUGUUCUCGCCCUUUCUCUUUUUCAUCCAUCUGUUUGUGCUGUUGCGGAGAUUUGUGAAAAAUGAGCCCUUGUACACCGAGAUAGCAGACGGAGUGUAUGUUGGAGGCUGGCCUUCUUCAGUUGAACGCCUGCCACCUGGUGAACCCGCAGUCAUCGAUUGCACGUGCGAGCUGCCAAGAAGCUCAACUAUAUCCGAGAAUUCAUAUUUGUGUGUCGCUACAUGGGAUACAAGGGCGCCUCAGCCACCACAGAUUGAGUCAGCGGUGCGGUGGGCCGUGAGAAAGCGGUCACAGAACAAACCUGUGUAUGUCCACUGUGCCUAUGGCCAUGGCAGAAGUGUCUGCGUGAUGUGUGCACUUCUAGUCGCACUGGGAUUAGCUGACGAUUGGAAAGCUGCUGAGCAAAUGAUCCGCGAGAAGCGACCUUCUAUCAGCAUGAACACUCUUCAUCGCAAAAGCUUAGAGGAAUGGUCAAAGCACUUGCUUUCUCCCUCAAAAGGAAGUGGGGAAUCCGAUGUGAGUUCUGUGAUUCUUUCGGACUACACCCGGAAAAAGCAUUGA